CUACGGGAUGCUGCAGUGGGGAAUAUUGCACAAUGGGCGCAAGCCUGAUGCAGCCAUGCCGCGUGUAUGAAGAAGGCCUUCGGGUUGUAAAGUACUUUCAGCGGGGAGGAAGGGAGUAAAGUUAAUACCUUUGCUCAUUGACGUUACCCGCAGAAGAAGCACCGGCUAACUCCGUGCCAGCAGCCGCGGUAAUACGGAGGGUGCAAGCGGUAAUCGGAAUUACUGGGCGUAAAGCGCACGCAGGCGGUUUGUUAAGUCAGAUGUGAAAUCCCCGGGCUCAACCGGGGAACUGCAUCUGAUACUGGCAAGCGUGAGUCUCGUAGAGGGGGGUAGAAUUCCAGGUGUAGCGGUGAGAUGCGUAGAGAUCUGGAGGAAUACCGGUGGCGAAGGCGGCCCCCUGGACGAAGACUGACGCUCAGGUGCGAAAGCGUGGGGAGCAAACAGGAUUAGAUACCCCUGUAGUC
Molecule: ribosomal RNA, 464 nt
Filed under: uncultured bacterium
Lineage: Bacteria
Description: partial 16S ribosomal RNA
Rfam family: Bacterial small subunit ribosomal RNA
Source: RNAcentral